GGAAAGUUGACAGAGUGGUCAAAUGCGGCGGUCUUGAAAACCGUUGAUCUUAUCGGGUCCGGGGGUUCGAAUCCCUCACUUUCCGCCA
This 88-nucleotide transfer RNA is filed under the name Bacteroidales bacterium. RNAcentral describes it as "tRNA-Ser". It matches the Rfam family "tRNA". From Rfam's summary of the family: Transfer RNA (tRNA) molecules are approximately 80 nucleotides in length. Their secondary structure includes four short double-helical elements and three loops (D, anti-codon, and T loops). Lineage: Bacteria; Pseudomonadati; Bacteroidota; Bacteroidia; Bacteroidales. The record is from RNAcentral.